This 301-nucleotide ribosomal RNA is filed under the name uncultured bacterium. RNAcentral describes it as "partial 16S ribosomal RNA". It matches the Rfam family "Bacterial small subunit ribosomal RNA", at positions 509 to 807 of the family's 1533-position model. The record is from RNAcentral.
CAGUAGCCGCGGUAAUACGUAGGGUGCGAGCGUUAAUCGGAAUUACUGGGCGUAAAGCGUGCGUAGGCGGUUGUGUAAGACAGAUGUGAAAUCCCCGGGCUUAACCUGGGAACUGCGCUUGUGACUGCACAGCUAGAGUAUGGCAGAGGGGGGUGGAAUUCCACGUGUAGCAGUGAAAUGCGUAGAGAUGUGGAGGAACACCGAUGGCGAAGGCAGCCCCCUGGGCCAAUACUGACGCUCAUGCACGGAAGCGUGGGGAGCAAACAGGAUUAGAUACCCCGGUAGUCCCUGUCUCUUAUAC